CCAUUUAAAAGGAGGAGCAGGCGCGCAAUUACCCAAUCCUGACUCAGGGAGGUAGUGACAAGAAAUAACAAUAAACCGGCUUAUGCCGGUUUAAUUGGAAUGAGUACAAUUUAAACAUCUUAACGAGGAACAAUUGGAGGGCAAGUCUGGUGCCAGCAGCCGCGGUAAUUCCAGCUCCAAUAGCGUAUACUAAAGUUGUUGCAGUUAAAAAGCUCGUAGUUGGAUUUCUGUGGGGACGGAGCGGCCGGCCGCAACACGCGGUUCGAGCUAGCGCUUUCCCUACAUCCUGCCGCGAACCGUGCUACCAUUAGUUUGGUGGCGCCGGGGAUCGGCUCGAUUACUUUGAGAAAAAUAGAGUGUUCAAAGCAGGCCACACGCCUUGAAUAAGUUAGCAUGGAAUAAUAACUAAGGACUUCGGUUCUAUUUUGUUGGUGUUCGGGACUGAAGUAAUGAUUGAUAGGGACAGUUGGGGCGGUCUGUAUUCCAAAGCGAGAGGUGAAAUUCUUAGACCUUCGGAAGACAAACAGCUGCGAAAGCGUUCCGCAAGGAUGUUCCCUUUGAUCAAGAACGAAAGUUGGGGGAUCGAAGACGAUCAGAUACCGUCGUAGUCUCAACUAUAAACUAUACCAGCUAGGGAUCGGCCAACGUUAUUCUAUACCGACUUGGUCGGCACCUUACGAGAAAUCAAAGCAUCUGGGUUCCGGGGGGAGUAUGGUCGCAAGGCUGAAACUUAAAGGAAUUGACGGAAGGGCACCACCAGCCGUGGAGCCUGUGGCUUAAUUUGACUCAACACGGGAAAACUUACCAGGUCCAGACAUAGUAAGGAUUGACAGAUUGAUAGCUCUUUCUUGAUUCUGUGGGUGGUGGUGCAUGGCCGUUCUUAGUUGGUGGAGUGAUUUGUCUAGUUAAUUCCGUUAACGAACGAGACCCCAGCCUGCUAAAUAGCGCGUGUGAGCUUUGCUCGCAGCGAGCUUCUUAGAGGGACUAUGAUGCGCGAUAGCACAUGGAAGUUUGGGGCAAUAACAGGUCUGUGAUGCCCUUAGAUGUUCUGGGCCGCACACGGGCUACACUGGCGCCUGCAACGAGCAUAUCAGCUGGCCCGAGAGGGUCUUGGCUAAUCUUUUGAACCGGCGCCGUGCUUGGGAUUGACCUUUGCAAUUGUUGGUCAUGCAACGAGGAAUGCCUUGUAAACGCGAGUCAUCAGCUCGCAUUGAAUACGUCCCUGCCCUUUGUACACACCGCCCGUCGCUCCUACCGAUGAAUGUUCCGAUGAAAUUUUCGGAGAGUGCCUGUGAACUUGGCUCUGCCUUGCGAACGGGAAGCUCAAAGUCACUUAAAUCUAACCAUUAA
RNAcentral lists this ribosomal RNA (1350 nucleotides) under uncultured marine eukaryote. Its description in RNAcentral is "SSU rRNA". It matches the Rfam family "Eukaryotic small subunit ribosomal RNA", at positions 410 to 1775 of the family's 1831-position model. The record is from RNAcentral.